Molecule: ribosomal RNA, 163 nt
Filed under: uncultured bacterium
Lineage: Bacteria
Description: partial 16S rRNA
Rfam family: Bacterial small subunit ribosomal RNA
Source: RNAcentral
UAGGGAAUCUUCCACAAUGGACGAAAGUACUGAUGGAGCAACGCCGCGUGAGUGAAGAAGGUUUCGGCUCGUAAACUCUGUUGUUAAAGAAGAACAUAUCUGAGAGUAACUGUUCAGGUAUUGACGGUAUUUAACCAGAAAGCCACGGCUAACUACGUGCCAG